Molecule: long non-coding RNA, 293 nt
Filed under: Malus domestica (apple)
Lineage: Eukaryota; Viridiplantae; Streptophyta; Magnoliopsida; Rosales; Rosaceae
Description: long non-coding RNA (MDOM_LNC015037)
Source: RNAcentral
UAUUCCACAAAUCCCGAAUUAGUAAGUGGUGUGGACAUGGAACACUCUGAGGCAGUAGUGGGAGUGAAGGGUGAAACCUCUGAGGCAUUAGGAGGGGUAGAAGUUGAACACUCUGAAGCUUGAAGUGGAAUUGGUGAAACUACAGUAUUAUGAGAAUUGACUAAUGAAGGAAGAACUUGAGGUUGUACUUGUAGUGAAGUGGAUGUAAUGUGGGUUGAUGCACUGUUGGAUGUAAUGAUGGAAGAAUAAGGAAAUGUAGUCUCAUCAAAUAAAACAUGUCUAGACACAUAGAU